This is a long non-coding RNA of Sapajus apella (tufted capuchin), 2144 nucleotides long. RefSeq lists it as uncharacterized. The transcript is spliced from 2 exons. Lineage: Eukaryota; Metazoa; Chordata; Mammalia; Primates; Cebidae. The record is from RefSeq and is a predicted model, not a curated record.
GGGAGAAGGGCUGAGGGGGUAGGGGUAUAAAAAUCAGAUAGCUCAGCGCUUGGCUCAAAGGAGCUGAAGGAGAGAGGAUUCCACUGCGUGUACGUUUUCUCUUUCACGUCUCACUUUGUUCUCUGCCAUCAGGAAAUACAGUAGACAUUUGUCACCAGCAACUCUUUGGAGCCUUCAAUGUUCCUUCCUCCCAGGAUUUGAAAGGGGACUUCAGACACGGAGAAUCAAAGAUACCAGGAGCUCAGAAGAAUGGAGUCUCAAGACAUCAGGCAAAUACCGAAGAGAUCAGAGCCAAGUUCUAAAGGGCAGCCAUUUCCCAAAUGUCAACCAAGAGCAAAGCCAAGAGAAUUAUUAUUUCCUGGCUGCACAAUCACAGGAAAAGCCUGAUCAAAGCUGGAGUGCAAGUUAAAAAGUGUAAGGUACUCAAGUGCUAGGGUCUGUGUCCAAGCCCAAUCAAUGGAUCAUUAGUUGUUUUUAACUUCCACAUUUCUUUUGCAACAGCACCUCUUCCUUAAGUAGCAAUCUUAUCAGACUGCCACCUUACCUGAUGUGUCCCAUUGUCCAAGGACAAUAAAGACUCUGCACUGUCUGCCGUUACCUAAGAAAGAUUGGAAUUGACACAGACAUCACAGUUACAUACAAAAUAGGAAUUGUUGGAUCAUGGAGACACACAUUCUGGUGUUUGCCAGAUUGGCACAUGACAUAAUCUGGUUUCUUUAUAGACCCAGUUGUUUUGGGUCGGUCUAAAUUAUCAAGAGAAGAGACUUCAUCUUUAGUUUGAUCUUGUACCCACCACCAGAACCCUUGCUUCUGAGCAGGGAGCAGCUGAGGAACAGGCUCUUUCUCUGAAUGACUUUCAACAUAAUUCUCUCAAACCUUACUCCUCCAGAAGGCCACCCUCAUCCUGGCUAUGGCUACUUCAGAAUAAACUUGGCAGAAUCAUCUGUUCACAUUCUAUUUCAAACCAAAUUCAGUAUCUCAAAGCCUUGUUCUGUGAUUUGUUUGGACCUUGGGGGCUCUGACUGAAAAUGCUGAAAUGCCAUACUGACACUUCAGACUUAUAGCUACCUGGCCUCCAAGUAAGAUUUAUCUCCAACUAGAGGGGUUUCUCCUAUUAAAAAUCAAACAGUGUAUGGUGUCUUCACCUGCUAGGUAAUAUUCUAUGCCCUAAUGGGAAGAAUGGGGGCAGCAGACCAGUGAGUGCAGGAAGGAGAAGCAAAGCUGUGUCCAUGCCCUUGAGAAAAGACAAAUUGGACCAGACAAGUUCAGUGGAAACUUUCUAACGAAUCCAUCAACUUCAGCUUGUCUAAGCAAAGUCAUAGCUAGAAGAGUACUGAAAUAGGAGAACCACGUACAGGGGUUCAGGGGUGAUUCCUCUGAAAUCGCAGCUGGAAGCGUUUUGUAACGGUUCCGGUAUUAUAUCCUGGAGGCUGUCACUCUUUCUUCUAAUCACCCUUAGCAGAUGCCACAGGAUUCCUAUUUCUGAAAGUUUUCAGGCCCCUCAUAUGGAAGACCAAAGAAGCCAUUAAUGUUUAAGGCUACAUUUUAUUCCAUCCACAAAUUUGGUAAAAGAGGAAAUGUUUACAAUUCUGCCAUCCCAUGAAUAGGAGUUUUCCAUCAGGUAUACACUGGUGUUAGCAAGGUAUGAAUACUUGUCCACUAAAAAGGCUGUUUGGUACUGCUGAUACAUAUCCCAAUGCAAUGCCGGGCUCAAAAAGUUCUUCGGUGAUUGCUUUUGAUAACACUGAAUGGCUAAAGGUCUUCUUUCACUUCCUCCCCCACCUCAAAUCCUGGCUCUGGAAUUUGAGGCUGUGCCCUUACAUGCCUCCAAGGCACCUAGCUCCAACAAAGAAAAAUGGAGAGUCUGCACUGCUCGUUAGUUGACCCAACACUCAGCCCACAUUGGAGGGGAAGCGGGUUGGGCUAAGGAUGUCUUCUUCCUGCUCAGGACACAUUAUGGUCAAGGAUGAAAGGAAAGAGAUGCUGGGAACAAGUUUGCAUUGAAGAUGUAUUUCUGUUGCUUUGCUACCAACCCUGGUUAUAAAUGAUGGAAUUAAUAUGGGUCUGUAAUAGCUACUUUCCCAUAUAGCUGUUGGAUAUACAUACAUAAAAUUAAAAAUAAUAGAAUACUUCCAUUACUAACA